This 479-nucleotide ribosomal RNA is filed under the name uncultured bacterium. Its description in RNAcentral is "partial 16S ribosomal RNA". It matches the Rfam family "Bacterial small subunit ribosomal RNA", at positions 28 to 507 of the family's 1533-position model. The record is from RNAcentral.
GAUGAACGCUGGCGGCGUGCUUAACACAUGCAAGUCGAACGAAGCACCUUGAUUUGAUUCUUCGGAUGAAGAUCUUGGUGACUGAGUGGCGGACGGGUGAGUAACGCGUGGGUAACCUGUCUCAUACAGGGGGAUAACAGUUAGCAAUGACUGCUAAUACCGCAUAAGACCACAGCACCGCAUGGUGCAGGGGUAAAAAGUCCGGGGGUAUGAGAUGGACCCGCGUCUGAUUAGGUAGUUGGUGGGGUAACGGCCUACCAAGCCGACGAACAGUAGCCGACCGGAGGGGGGGACCGGCCACGAUGGGACUGAGACACGGACCAAACUCCUACGAGAGGCAGGAGUGGGGAAUAUUGCACAAUGGAGGAAACCCUGAUGCAGCGGCGCCGCGUGAGAGAUGAAGUAUUUCGGUAUGUAAAGCUCUAUCAGCAGGGAAGAAAAUGACGGUACCGGACAAAGAAGCACCGGCUAAAUACGUG